RNAcentral lists this long non-coding RNA (846 nucleotides) under Carassius auratus (goldfish). RNAcentral's name for it is "lncRNA (ENSCARG00000020310.1)". Lineage: Eukaryota; Metazoa; Chordata; Actinopteri; Cypriniformes; Cyprinidae. The record is from RNAcentral.
AUUGACACGUUAAUAGCGUUCUUACGUUAAUAGCGUUCUUGAUAGAAGUCUUUUGUUUUGGCGUUGCUACUAGCGCCUGCUGUGAAACAACAGGAUCACACAGUGAUUGAUCUUCAGUCCUAGUGGAAAGGCGGCAAUCAAAAAUUCUCCUUUUUUUAUUCGUUUUAUAGAGUCGUGCCAUCUCUAAGAAGAAGAACUGCAGUUGUGUCUAUGGGAUGUGCUGAAGGCAAUCAUCAGAUGACUUCAAACAAAGAGCGUCCCAGUUGCACACCGACACCGUGCGCACGGGGCAAACGGCCAAUGCAUCAAAGCACUCUGACUCUUGGCGAUCAGACUAAAGACAUUUAUUCUACUACACAAGCAGAGUAUUUUUCUGGGAGAGGCCUCGAUGGUCAAGCGCUGGUGCUUCUGCCCCGAGAUCCAUGUCAUUCCUCUCAGUAUGAUGGAAAGCUGGAGCUCAGUCACAUCCCUGUGUCACGAGGAGGACAGACACACUCCAGAGAUGUACACGGCCCAAGGGACAUCAUACCACAUUACAUCCUGCACAGAGUGGGGUUACAGAACAGGACACAGAACAGGGAGGGGGUCGUGAUGAAAGAGGUCACCAACCCCGCCGAGGCCACACUGUACCAGACAACAUAUCAAACCGUGCACUGCACCACUUCCAAAAGAUAUCAAACAAAUGAAGCAUGUGGACAGCCAGUCCCCUGGCACAGGCAUAAUAUUAUCACAGGAGAGGAGAAGGCAGCAGCUGGGCCCGGGCCGGUCAGAAGACAGUCUGGGGAGAGCAUUCUGUGGGAAGCUCGGCGUUGGGAGAUGAACAGGGACUCUUUUCAUUUAUACUAA